UACGUAGGGGGCAAGCGUUGUCCGGAUUUAUUGGGCGUAAAGAGCGUGUAGGCGGUUAGGUAGGUCCGUUGUGAAAACUCGAGGCUCAACCUCGAGACGCCGAUGGAAACCAUCUAACUAGAGUCCGGAAGAGGAGAAUGGAAUUCCUGGUGUAGCGGUGGAAUGCGCAGAUAUCAGGAGGAACACCGGUGGCGAAGGCGGGUCUCUGGGCAGUAACUGACGCUGAGGAGCGAAAGCGUGGGGAGCGAACAGG
Molecule: ribosomal RNA, 253 nt
Filed under: uncultured bacterium
Lineage: Bacteria
Description: partial 16S ribosomal RNA
Rfam family: Bacterial small subunit ribosomal RNA
Source: RNAcentral